AGUCCAUCCGUUGUAGAAGUUCGCCUAAAAUCUAUCCACUGUAAAAGUUCAGACGGAGUCCAGUUCUUGUAGCAGUCCGGAGGGAGACCACUUGUUGUAGAAGCCCGGUUAAAGUCCGCCUGCAAUCGAAGUUCGGAAGGAAUUCGCUUACAGUAGAAGCUCGGAUGAAGGCCGUUUGCUGUGGAAGUUCGGAUGAAGACCGGUUGUCG
Molecule: long non-coding RNA, 209 nt
Filed under: Elaeis guineensis (African oil palm)
Lineage: Eukaryota; Viridiplantae; Streptophyta; Magnoliopsida; Arecales; Arecaceae
Description: long non-coding RNA (EGUI_LNC006238)
Source: RNAcentral